This 259-nucleotide ribosomal RNA is filed under the name uncultured prokaryote. Its description in RNAcentral is "partial 16S ribosomal RNA". It matches the Rfam family "Bacterial small subunit ribosomal RNA", at positions 524 to 782 of the family's 1533-position model. The record is from RNAcentral.
UACGUAGGUGGCAGGCGUUGUCCGGAUUUAUUGGGCGUAAAGCGAGCGCAGGCGGUUCCUUAAGUCUGAUGUGAAAGCCCACGGCUCAACCGUGGAAGGUCAUUGGAAACUGGGGAACUUGAGUGCAGAAGAGGAGAGUGGAAUUCCAUGUGUAGCGGUGAAAUGCGUAGAUAUAUGGAGGAACACCAGUGGCGAAGGCGACUCUCUGGUCUGUAACUGACGCUGAGGCUCGAAAGCGUGGGGAGCAAACAGGAUUAGA